GGGCCCGCACAAGCAGCGGAGCAUGUUGUUUAAUUCGAAGCAACGCGAAGAACCUUACCAUGUCUUGACAUCGAGGUAAAGCUGUAGAGAUACAGUGUGGAUUCGUCCGACCGAAGACAGGUGGUGCAUGGUUGUCGUCAGCUCGUGUCGUGAGAUGUUGGGUUAAGUCCCGCAACGAGCGCAACCCCUAUGGUCAGUUACUAACGGGUAAAGCCGAGGACUCUGACAAGACUGCCGGGGACAACUCGGAGGAAGGUGGGGACGACGUCAAAUCAUCAUGCCCCUUAUGACAUGGGCUACAAACGUGCUACAAUGGUGGUUACAAAGAGGAGCGAGCUCGUGAGGGUAAGCGGAUCUCAAAAAAGCCAUCUCAGUUCGGAUUGUGGGCUGCAACCCGCCCACAUGAAGUUGGAGUUGCUAGUAAUCGCGGAUCAGAAUGCCGCGGUGAAUACGUUCCCGGGCCUU
This 465-nucleotide ribosomal RNA is filed under the name uncultured bacterium. RNAcentral describes it as "bacterial SSU rRNA". It matches the Rfam family "Bacterial small subunit ribosomal RNA", at positions 917 to 1382 of the family's 1533-position model. The record is from RNAcentral.